This 484-nucleotide ribosomal RNA is filed under the name uncultured bacterium. RNAcentral's name for it is "partial 16S ribosomal RNA". It matches the Rfam family "Bacterial small subunit ribosomal RNA", at positions 30 to 507 of the family's 1533-position model. The record is from RNAcentral.
AUUGAACGCUGGCGGCAGGCCUAACACAUGCAAGUCGAGCGGAUGAAGGGAGCUUGCUCCUGGAUUCAGCGGCGGACGGGUGAGUAAUGCCUAGGAAUCUGCCUGGUAGUGGGGGAUAACGUCCGGAAACGGGCGCUAAUACCGCAUACGUCCUGAGGGAGAAAGUGGGGGAUCUUCGGACCUCACGCUAUCAGAUGAGCCUAGGUUGGAUUAGCUAGUUGGUGGGGUAAAGGCCUACCAAGGCGACGAUCCGUAACUGGUCUGAGAGGAUGAUCAGUCACACUGGAACUGAGACACGGUCCAGACUCCUACGGGAGGCUGCAGUGGGGAAUAUUGGACAAUGGGCGAAAGCCUGAUCCAGCCAUGCCGCGUGUGUGAAGAAGGUCUUCGGAUUGUAAAGCACUUUAAGUUGGGAGGAAGGGCAGUAAGUUAAUACCUUGCUGUUUUGACGUUACCGACAGAAUAAGCACCGGCUAACUUCGUG